AUUGAGCGCUGGCGGCAUGCCUUACACAUGCAAGUCGAACGGCAGCAUGAUCUAGCUUGCUAGAUUGAUGGCGAGUGGCGCACGGGUGAGUAAUACAUCGGAACGUGCCCUGUAGUGGGGGAUAACUAGUCGAAAGAUUAGCUAAUACCGCAUACGACCUGAGGGUGAAAGUGGGGGACCGCAAGGCCUCAUGCUAUAGGAGCGGCCGAUGUCUGAUUAGCUAGUUGGUGAGGUAAAGGCUCACCAAGGCGACGAUCAGUAGCUGGUCUGAGAGGACGAUCAGCCACACUGGGACUGAGACACGGCCCAGACUCCUACGGGAGGCAGCAGUGGGGAAUUUUGGACAAUGGGCGAAAGCCUGAUCCAGCAAUGCCGCGUGUGUGAAGAAGGCCUUCGGGUUGUAAAGCACUUUUGUCCGGAAAGAAAUGGCUCUGGUUAAUACCUGGGGUCGAUGACGGUACCGGAAGAAUAAGGACCGGCUAACUACGUG
Molecule: ribosomal RNA, 490 nt
Filed under: uncultured bacterium
Lineage: Bacteria
Description: partial 16S ribosomal RNA
Rfam family: Bacterial small subunit ribosomal RNA
Source: RNAcentral